Molecule: ribosomal RNA, 464 nt
Filed under: uncultured bacterium
Lineage: Bacteria
Description: partial 16S ribosomal RNA
Rfam family: Bacterial small subunit ribosomal RNA
Source: RNAcentral
GAUGAACGCUGGCGGCGUGCUUAACACAUGCAAGUCGAACGGAAAGGCCCUGCUUGCAGGGUCCUCGAGUGGCGAACGGGUGAGUAACACGUGGGUGAUUUGCCCUGCACUUCGGGAUAAGCCUGGAAAACUGGGUCUAUAACCGAAUAGGACCCAUGUGUAGAGGGAUGGUUGGUAGGUUUUUUCGGUGUAGGAUGAGCGCGCGGCCUAUUAGCUUGUUGGUGGGGUAAUGGCCUACCAAGGCGGCGACGGGUAGCCGGCUUGAGAGGGUGGACGGCCACAGUGGGACUGAGGUACGGCCCAGACGCCAACGUGAGGCAGCAGUGGGGAAUAUUGCCCACUGGGCGCAAGCCUGAUACAGCGACGUCGCGUGGGGAAUGACGGCCUUCGGGUUGUAAACUCCAUUCGGUAGGGACGAAGCUGUUGUGACGGUACCUAGAGAAGAAGCACCGGCUAACUACGUG